Molecule: ribosomal RNA, 428 nt
Filed under: uncultured bacterium
Lineage: Bacteria
Description: bacterial SSU rRNA
Rfam family: Bacterial small subunit ribosomal RNA
Source: RNAcentral
GGACCCGCACAAGUAGUGGAGCAUGUGGUUUAAUUCGAAGAUACGCGCAGAACCUUACCAACACUUGACAUGUUCGUCGCGACUUUAAGAGAUUAAAGUUUUCGGUUUGGCCGGACGAAACACAGGUGCUGCAUGGCUGUCGUCAGCUCGUGUCGUGAGAUGUUGGGUUAAGUCCCGCAACGAGCGCAACCCUCACUUUUAGUUGCCAUCAUUUAGUUGGGCACUCUGAAAGAACUGCCAGUGAUAAGCUGGAGGAAGGUGGGGAUGACGUCAAGUCCUCAUGGCCCUUACGUGUUGGGCUACACACGUGCUACAAUGGCAUUUACAAUAGGAAGCAAGACGGCGACGUUUAGCAAAUCCUAAAAAAUGCCUCAGUUCGGAUUGUACUCUGCAACUCGAGUACAUGAAGCUGGAAUUACUAGUAAUCG